AGCCGCCGCGGUAAUACGUAGGGUGCAAGCGUUAAUCGGAAUUACUGGGCGUAAAGCGUGCGCAGGCGGUUAUAUAAGACAGAUGUGAAAUCCCCGGGCUCAACCUGGGAACUGCAUUUGUGACUGUAUAGCUAGAGUACGGCAGAGGGGGAUGGAAUUCCGCGUGUAGCAGUGAAAUGCGUAGAUAUGCGGAGGAACACCGAUGGCGAAGGCAAUCCCCUGGGCCUGUACUGACGCUCAUGCACGAAAGCGUGGGGAGCAAACAGGAUUAGAUACCCCCGUAGUCCCUGUCUCUUAUACA
RNAcentral lists this ribosomal RNA (301 nucleotides) under uncultured bacterium. RNAcentral describes it as "partial 16S ribosomal RNA". It matches the Rfam family "Bacterial small subunit ribosomal RNA", at positions 510 to 808 of the family's 1533-position model. The record is from RNAcentral.